RNAcentral lists this ribosomal RNA (229 nucleotides) under uncultured bacterium. Its description in RNAcentral is "partial 16S ribosomal RNA". It matches the Rfam family "Bacterial small subunit ribosomal RNA", at positions 568 to 796 of the family's 1533-position model. The record is from RNAcentral.
GGUGCAGGCGGUGAAGUCAGUCGGAUGUGAAAGCCCAGGGCCCAACCCUGGAACUGCAUUCGAAACUGCUUCACUAGAGUCCCGGAGGGGAAGGCGGAAUUCCCGGUGUAGAGGUGAAAUUCGUAGAUAUCGGGAGGAACACCAGUGGCGAAGGCGGCCUUCUGGACGGUGACUGACGCUCAGACCCGAAAGCGUGGGGAGCAAACAGGAUUAGAUACCCUGGUAGUCC